This 334-nucleotide unclassified non-coding RNA is filed under the name soil metagenome. Its description in RNAcentral is "partial contains 5.8S ribosomal RNA, internal transcribed spacer 2, and large subunit ribosomal RNA". The stretch from base 1 to 120 matches the Rfam family "5.8S ribosomal RNA", at positions 35 to 154 of the family's 154-position model. The record is from RNAcentral.
GAUGAAGAACGUAGCGAAAUGCGAUAAGUAGUGUGAAUUGCAGAAUUCAGUGAAUCAUCGAAUCUUUGAACGCACAUUGCGCCCCUUGGUAUUCCAUGGGGCAUGCCUGUUCGAGCGUCAUUUGUACCUUCAAGCUUUGCUUGGUGUUGGGUGUUUGUCCAUUCUCUUGCAGAGGGACUCGCCUUAAAGUAGUUGGCAGCCAGUGUUUUGGUUUUGAAGCGCAGCACAAGUCGCGAUUCAACGCUAUACGCCAGCUUCCACAAGCCUUUUUCACUUUUGACCUCGGAUCAGGUAGGGAUACCCGCUGAACUUAAGCAUAUCAAUAAGCGGAGGA